Molecule: non-coding RNA, 78 nt
Filed under: Ralstonia sp. 25mfcol4.1
Lineage: Bacteria; Pseudomonadati; Pseudomonadota; Betaproteobacteria; Burkholderiales; Burkholderiaceae
Source: RNAcentral
UUGAGCCGUAUGCGGGGAAACUCGCACGUACGGUUCUUAGGGGGGAGGGGGUCAGUAAUGACCGUUCUCCUACCCUAC